This 402-nucleotide ribosomal RNA is filed under the name Bacteroidota bacterium. RNAcentral's name for it is "Bacteroidetes bacterium partial 16S ribosomal RNA". It matches the Rfam family "Bacterial small subunit ribosomal RNA", at positions 355 to 776 of the family's 1533-position model. The record is from RNAcentral. Lineage: Bacteria; Pseudomonadati; Bacteroidota.
UGGGGAAUUUUGCACAAUGGGGGAAACCCUGAUGCAGCGACGCCGCGUGAUUUAGAAGGCCUUCGGGUUGUAAAAAUCUUUUUUACGGGAUGAAAAUGACAGUACCGUAAGAAUAAGGUCCGGCUAAAUACGUGCCAGCAGCCGCGGUAAUACGUAUGGACCGAGCGUUGUCCGGAAUCAUUGGGCGUAAAGGGUACGUAGGCGGCCUAGUAAGUUAGAAGUUAAAGAAUAUAGCUCAACUAUAUAAAGCUUUUAAAACUGCUAGGCUUGAGAGAUGGAAGGGAAAGUGGAAUUCCUAGUGUAGCGGUGAAAUGCGCAGAUGUUAGGAAGAAUACCGGUGGCGAAGGCGACUUUCUGGUCAUAAUCUGACGCUGGGGUACGAAAGCGUGGGUAGCAAACAGG